UCAGGACGAACGCUGGCGGCGUGCCUAAUACAUGCAAGUCGUACGCUUCUUUUUCCACCGGAGCUUGCUCCACCGGAAAAAGAAGAGUGGCGAACGGGUGAGUAACACGUGGGUAACCUGCCCAUCAGAAGGGGAUAACACUUGGAAACAGGUGCUAAUACCGUAUAACAAUCGAAACCGCAUGGUUUUGAUUUGAAAGGCGCUUUCGGGUGUCGCUGAUGGAUGGACCCGCGGUGCAUUAGCUAGUUGGUGAGGUAACGGCUCACCAAGGCCACGAUGCAUAGCCGACCUGAGAGGGUGAUCGGCCACAUUGGGACUGAGACACGGCCCAAACUCCUACGGGAGGCAGCAGUAGGGAAUCUUCGGCAAUGGACGAAAGUCUGACCGAGCAACGCCGCGUGAGUGAAGAAGGUUUUCGGAUCGUAAAACUCUGUUGUUAGAGAAGAACAAGUGAUGAGAGU
This 461-nucleotide ribosomal RNA is filed under the name Enterococcus faecium. Its description in RNAcentral is "bacterial SSU rRNA". It matches the Rfam family "Bacterial small subunit ribosomal RNA", at positions 24 to 463 of the family's 1533-position model. Lineage: Bacteria; Bacillati; Bacillota; Bacilli; Lactobacillales; Enterococcaceae. The record is from RNAcentral.